RNAcentral lists this long non-coding RNA (719 nucleotides) under Phoenix dactylifera (date palm). RNAcentral describes it as "long non-coding RNA (PDAC_LNC001486)". The record is from RNAcentral. Lineage: Eukaryota; Viridiplantae; Streptophyta; Magnoliopsida; Arecales; Arecaceae.
UGAGUGGUGGCAGAGAUAAUGGUGAGAAGGUCAUAUGCCCAUUGGUCCCCUCUGGGUGGGGAUCAUAUGAUCGAUCCUAGCUUAAUUUAAUGAAGGACAGUGUGCGUGUGAGUGUCUGCCGAAGCUUUUAUGAUGAGAAAGGGAGAGGCAUUUGACUGCUUAUAUAUGGCUUUGGGUCCAACUCUCCUUUAGUUCUCAAAAAGGAGAAAACGUUUAGGUCCUGUGCAUCUUCUUCAAGUGAGCUGGAGGAUUGGUUGUUUGCAUUGACUUCGUUUGUUUUCAUGCAUGCGUUCAGGACCCACAGACAAAUUAAGAUCUGCUCUCGUAUCCUUUACGAAGCUAGGAAACAGAAUGGUGGGCAAAUUGAGAGAUGGAAUUGCCAACCUGAGGCCUGAGCAUUGGAAGCUAGCUAGAGAAGAUAAUGCAUCGUAUUGAAACAAUCCACAGGAUCCGUGUUGAGCUCUAGAUCUGAUUCAACGAUAACUCUAGCAACAGGAAAUUUUUAUAACGUGCAUGACGCCGGUUGAUCGAGCCACCUACUCUUUGUUGGUUACGAUACACGUGAGAUGUGAUAAUGCACGGAUUUACGAAGAAGAGCACAUUCAAUGAAUAUCUCUCAUAUCAUUUCUAGGGGGGCCAACAAGCUCUAGCCAAGUAACUAUGAGACACCAUGCAUUUUCCAUGUACAUGCAUAAAAACUUCGGUAGAAGCAUGACAUG